This 144-nucleotide ribosomal RNA is filed under the name uncultured bacterium. RNAcentral's name for it is "partial 16S ribosomal RNA". It matches the Rfam family "Bacterial small subunit ribosomal RNA", at positions 338 to 474 of the family's 1533-position model. The record is from RNAcentral.
CCUACGGGAGGCAGCAGUAGGGAAUCUUCCACAAUGGACGAAAGUCUGAUGGAGCAACGCCGCGUGAGUGAUGAAGGUUUUCGGAUCGUAAAACUCUGUUGUAAGGGAAGAACACGUACGAGAGGGAAUGCUCGUACCUUGACG